RNAcentral lists this long non-coding RNA (1403 nucleotides) under Homo sapiens (human). Its description in RNAcentral is "HSALNT0256328". The record is from RNAcentral. Lineage: Eukaryota; Metazoa; Chordata; Mammalia; Primates; Hominidae.
UGGCAGCCAAUACCAGGCAAAGAUAACCGAAACACUGACCCCAUGACAAAAAUGACAGUCAUUGUAAUAGAUACAGGUACUUUCAAUGAUCAGACACACUGUAAAACAACCAGGCUUAUUAUUGUUUAAUAAGUGCAGUCGUUUAAGAACAAUGAAAACGGUGAAGAACCCUGAGGUGAGAGGAAAAAAAACAACUGGAUGUAUUAGGAGAUGAGAAUUGAGAUCGAGGGGCGGGGAUGUAGUGCCGCUCUGGUUUUCCUCAGUGACUCAGAGCCUCAAACCUGCCCCAUAGGUGCCUCCUCAACCCUGGUCCCUCUCCUGCUCAAACACCCGCCAUGGCUCCCUAUCGCCCACAGGAUACUGUCCCCACCUGCGCUCUGGGACAACCCGCCCUCAGCACGGGGCCACUGUGCUCAACCAGAGAGGCUGUCAGGGUCUUGGCUCAGAAAUACUCCGCCUUCCCCUCGCCAGGCCCUGGAUCCCUGCAGUUCUCCGACGCCCCCUGCUGGCUGUCUGUGGGACUCAGGCACAGAUUGAUUCCCCGGAAUCUGCAAAGGUGCCUGAGGAGGGCGCGGGUGGCUCUGAGACCUGACAGUGGUGGGUCACUGCAGAUCCGCGCUCAGGGGCUCCACCCGUAGCCAAAGUCCAUCCUCCGCGCGCACGAUCAGCUCCAGCUUCCUGCGGGGCUCCGCGUGGUCCGGCAGGACGCGGAAGCGCAGCAGCGUGAGCGCCAGGACCACCUUCAUCUCAGCCAUGGCGAACGUCUGGCCGAUGCAGUUCCCGGGGGAGGGGGUGGGGACUCUGACUGUGCCCAGGACCCCCAUCCCGGCCCCAUCGCGCCGGGAACCUCGUCUGGGACUCCCAACCCCACCCAGAUCCGAUUGAGGGGCAGAGAGAGGGACUCUGUGCCUGGGACCCCCAUGUGGGCUUGCAUAUCCUCCGAGCCUGGCUUAGACUCCAGCCCCCAGACCAGCAGACGUAGGAGUGGGGAAGUCUGAGAACACACACCCCCUUUUCCUGGGAUCUUAUUAAAACCCUCGACUCCCUGAAACACGUGGCCCCACAAGUCAGACCUUGCCUCCACCUGUGGCACCCUCACCCGAUGCCCGCCUCAGAAGCCCCUUAGCCUCACCUGGGCACUGCUGAGAAGGGAAUAAAAGCCAGAGGUGAUGUCUUCUGGAGAUUUUCUGGGUCGAAGCGAAAGGGGUCAUAGACCUGGUGGGUGGGCAAGUUAGGGCUGUUGGGUGGGGGUCUCUCAGGACACCCAGCCACCCGCAUAUAAGACAGAUGUGAAGCCGGGCACGGUGACUCAUGCCUGUAAUCCCAGCACUUUGGGAGGCUGAGGGGCGAAACUCCUGAGGUUGGGAGUUCGAGAUCAACCUGACCAACAUGGAGAAACCCCG